CGUUCCUAUGGGACGCAGCAGUGAGGAAUAUUGGUCAAUGGACGCAAGUCUGAACCGGCCAAGUAGCGUGAAGGAUGACUGCCCUAUGGGUUGUAAACUUCUUUUAUAUGGGAAUAAAAUGUUCCACGUGUGGGAUUUUGUAUGUACCAUAUGAAUAAGGAUCGGCUAACUCCGUGCCAGCAGCCGCGGUAAUACGGAGGAUCCGAGCGUUAUCCGGAUUUAUUGGGUUUAAAGGGAGCGUAGGUGGAUUGUUAAGUCAGUUGUGAAAAUUUGCGGCUCAACCGUAAAAUUGCAGUUGAAACUGG
This 305-nucleotide ribosomal RNA is filed under the name uncultured bacterium. Its description in RNAcentral is "bacterial SSU rRNA". It matches the Rfam family "Bacterial small subunit ribosomal RNA", at positions 334 to 636 of the family's 1533-position model. The record is from RNAcentral.